This 301-nucleotide ribosomal RNA is filed under the name uncultured bacterium. RNAcentral's name for it is "partial 16S ribosomal RNA". It matches the Rfam family "Bacterial small subunit ribosomal RNA", at positions 509 to 808 of the family's 1533-position model. The record is from RNAcentral.
CAGCAGCCACGGUAAUACGUAGGGGGCAAGCGUUAUCCGGAAUAACUGGGCGUAAAGGGUGCGCAGGUGGUUUAACAAGUUAGUGGUGAAAGGCAUAGGCUCAACCAAUGUAAGCCAUUAAAACAGUUUAACUUGAGUGCAGGAGAGGAAAGUGGAAUUCCUAGUGUAGCGGUGAAAUGCGUAGAUAUUAGGAGGAAUACCAGUGGCGAAGGCGACUUUCUGGACUGCAACUGACACUGAGGCACGAAAGCGUGGGGAGCAAACAGGAUUAGAUACCCCAGUAGUCCCUGUCUCUUAUACA